UACGUAGGGACCAAGCGUUGUUCGGAUUUACUGGGCGUAAAGGGCGCGUAGGCGGCAAAUUAAGUCAUCUGUGAAAUCUCCGAGCUUAACUCGGAACGGUCAGGUGAUACUGAUCUGCUAGAGUGCGGAAGGGGCAAUCGGAAUUCUCGGUGUAGCGGUGAAAUGCGUAGAUAUCAAGAGGAACACCUGAGGUGAAGACGGGUUGCUGGGCCGACACUGACGCUGACAGCGCGAAAGCCAGGGGAGCAAACGGG
Molecule: ribosomal RNA, 254 nt
Filed under: uncultured bacterium
Lineage: Bacteria
Description: partial 16S ribosomal RNA
Rfam family: Bacterial small subunit ribosomal RNA
Source: RNAcentral